UACGAAGGGGGCUAGCGUUGUUCGGAAUCACUGGGCGUAAAGCGCACGUAGGCGGAUCUCUAAGUCGGGGGUGAAAUCCCGAGGCUCAACCUCGGAACUGCCUUCGAUACUGGAGAUCUUCGAGUCCGGGAGAGGUGAGUGGAACUCCGAGUGUAGAGGUGAAAUUCGUAGAUAUUCGGAAGAACACCAGUGGCGAAGGCGGCUCACUGGCCCGGUACUGACGCUGAGGUGCGAAAGCGUGGGGAGCAAACAGG
This 254-nucleotide ribosomal RNA is filed under the name uncultured Bauldia sp. RNAcentral describes it as "partial 16S ribosomal RNA". It matches the Rfam family "Bacterial small subunit ribosomal RNA", at positions 524 to 776 of the family's 1533-position model. The record is from RNAcentral. Lineage: Bacteria; Pseudomonadati; Pseudomonadota; Alphaproteobacteria; Hyphomicrobiales; Kaistiaceae.